Molecule: ribosomal RNA, 457 nt
Filed under: alpha proteobacterium L63
Lineage: Bacteria; Pseudomonadati; Pseudomonadota; Alphaproteobacteria
Description: bacterial SSU rRNA
Rfam family: Bacterial small subunit ribosomal RNA
Source: RNAcentral
AUAGAGUUUGAUCCUGGCUCAGAACGAACGCUGGCGGCAGGCCUAACACAUGCAAGUCGAGCGCAGUCCUUCGGGACCGAGCGGCGGACGGGUUAGUAACGCGUGGGAACAUACCCUUUUCUACGGAAUAGCCUCGGGAAACUGAGAGUAAUACCGUAUAAGCCCUUCGGGGGAAAGAUUUAUCGGGAAAGGAUUGGCCCGCGUUAGAUUAGAUAGUUGGUGGGGUAAUGGCCUACCAAGUCUACGAUCUAUAGCUGGUUUUAGAGGAUGAUCAGCAACACUGGGACUGAGACACGGCCCAGACUCCUACGGGAGGCAGCAGUGGGGAAUCUUAGACAAUGGGCGCAAGCCUGAUCUAGCCAUGCCGCGUGUGUGAUGAAGGUCUUAGGAUCGUAAAGCACUUUCGCCAGGGAUGAUAAUGACAGUACCUGGUAAAGAAACCCCGGCUACUCACGGU